RNAcentral lists this ribosomal RNA (492 nucleotides) under uncultured bacterium. Its description in RNAcentral is "partial 16S ribosomal RNA". It matches the Rfam family "Bacterial small subunit ribosomal RNA", at positions 29 to 507 of the family's 1533-position model. The record is from RNAcentral.
AGUGAACGCUGGCGGUAGGCCUAACACAUGCAAGUCGAACGGCAGCACAGUAAGAGCUUGCUCUUACGGGUGGCGAGUGGCGGACGGGUGAGGAAUACAUCGGAAUCUACUUUUUCGUGGGGGAUAACGUAGGGAAACUUACGCUAAUACCGCAUACGACCUACGGGUGAAAGCAGGGGAUCUUCGGACCUUGCGCGAUUGAAUGACCCGAUGUCGGAUUAGCUAGUUGGCGGGGUAAAGGCCCACCAAGGCGACGAUCCGUAGCUGGUCUGAGAGGAUGAUCAGCCACACUGGAACUGAGGCACGGUCCAGACUCCUACGGGAGGCAGCAGUGGGGAAUAUUGGACAAUGGGCGCAAGCCUGAUCCAGCCAUACCGCGUGGGUGAAGAAGGCCUUCGGGUUGUAAAGCCCUUUUGUUGGGAAAGAAAAGCAGCAGGUUAAUACCCCGCUGUUCUGACGGUACCCAAAGAAUAAGCACCGGCUAACUUCGUG